RNAcentral lists this ribosomal RNA (356 nucleotides) under uncultured bacterium. RNAcentral describes it as "bacterial SSU rRNA". It matches the Rfam family "Bacterial small subunit ribosomal RNA", at positions 29 to 387 of the family's 1533-position model. The record is from RNAcentral.
AUUGAACGCUGGCGGAAUGCUUUACACAUGCAAGUCGAGCGGCAGCGCGGGGGCAACCCUGGCGGCGAGCGGCGAACGGGUGAGUAACAUAUCGGAACGUACCCCGUCGUGGGGAUAACACAGCGAAAGCUGUGCUAAUACCGCAUACGACCUGAGGGUGAAAGCGGGGGAUCGCAAGACCUCGCGCGAUGGGAGCGGCCGAUAUCGGAUUAGCUUGUUGGUGAGGUAAAGGCUCAACCAAGGCGACGAUCUAUAGCUGGUCUGAGAGGAUGAUCAGCCACACUGGAACUGAGACACGGUCCAGACUCCUACGGGAGGCAGCAGUAGGGAUAUUCCGCAAUGGGCGAAAGCCUGAC